UCGGGAAUUUUGGGCAAUGGGGGAAACCCUGACCCAGCAACGCCGCGUGAAGGAUGAAGUAUUUCGGUAUGUAAACUUCGAAAGAAUAGGAAGAAUAAAUGACGGUACUAUUUAUAAGCUCCGGCUAACUACGUGCCAGCAGCCGCGGUAAUACGUAGGGAGCAAGCGUUGUUCGGAUUUACUGGGCGUAAAGGGCGCGUAGGCGGCGCGGUAAGUCACUUGUGAAAUCUCUGAGCUUAACUCAGAACGGCCAAGUGAUACUGCAGUGCUAGAGUGCAGAAGGGGCAAUCGGAAUUCUUGGUGUAGCGGUGAAAUGCGUAGAUAUCAAGAGGAACACCUGAGGUGAAGACGGGUUGCUGGGCUGACACUGACGCUGAGGCGCGAAAGCUAGGGGAGCAAA
This 400-nucleotide ribosomal RNA is filed under the name uncultured bacterium. Its description in RNAcentral is "bacterial SSU rRNA". It matches the Rfam family "Bacterial small subunit ribosomal RNA", at positions 355 to 772 of the family's 1533-position model. The record is from RNAcentral.